RNAcentral lists this unclassified non-coding RNA (1031 nucleotides) under Hevea brasiliensis (rubber tree). The record is from RNAcentral. Lineage: Eukaryota; Viridiplantae; Streptophyta; Magnoliopsida; Malpighiales; Euphorbiaceae.
UUGAGUUGCCUGGGUUUGAUGAUCAAGUGCAGGUAUUGGAAAGUGAAUUUAUCAAAUAAAAAUUAUUUUGUGCCUGAGAAAUGUAUGUUCUGAUAAUUAGGGAGGACGGAUUCAACCUUGUGAGUUGUGACUUUCCUCUUUACAGGAGAGCUUGCUACUGGGCUGUUUUAUGCUCUGAGCCACAAGAAAUUGUAGUUCUGUAUGUGAAUGGCAACGUUCUUAAGAUGCUUAGAUGCAAAUUGAUGACUGUGAAAUUCCAGAGCACUUUCCUUCCUCUUGCGGGUUUAAAUACACAUUGAAAUUGUUGGGUCAAAUUCAGAUAUCGUUGCUUCAGCUAUUGCCAUUUGGGAAAAUACUGCUGUUUGUUAUGAUACAUGGAAUGAAAACUGACCAUGAAAUGGAAAUGGUUCUUUUCAUUGUUUUAUUCGUUGUUGUUUAGUAAAUGGGCUAAAGAGAUCAAAAUAAAAUAAAAUCCUGCACAUUUUACUCUUCCAUACGAGGGAUGAGGGAGUUGGUUGUCAUCAAAAGAAAAAGGUUUCUUUAUUAACGCUUUGAUUCCCAGCUUUCAAAAAAUAUUUUCUCUUUUAUUUUGAUUAGAUUUAGAAGGCUACUUUAUUGAUUGGUGAAAUUCUGCGAUAAAACAUAAUUUUUUGAAUAUCAUGUGAAAAGAUAUGGAGCCAUUGAGGGAUCCUUGAUUUUCUGGUGUUUAAUCAAUUGAUAGCCUACUUUUGCUAGUUGGUGUGAUGUGGAAUUUGCUGACUCUGUUACCGGUGAAUCUUCUGACAGUUCAAAAUUGGAAAAUUAGGCUGGCGUCCUCAUGCCUAAUGGCAUCUUCUAUUCUGUUAAGAUUGGGGUGGAGAGUAAUGCUGUAGGUUGAACACAAUUAGAUUCUUCUUCAUGUUAAAGGCUAAUUCAUGAUUGGUUUCUCUUGCUUCCUACAGGACUGCGUUGCUUCGCUGGCACAUGAACAACCACGAGUCCCCAGUUGGCCAUCUUCCAUGUGAUUGUGGCUGACACUUAAAAUGCUAUGA